ACAAAUAACAGUGGGCUGCAACUUUUCAUUUUAUUAUUCAACCAUUUUUUUCUUGCUUAUAAAUUGUAUAUCUGUGCAUGCAAAUCUUCAAUUCAUUGCCUCAAAUCUUGAAAAAAAAAUUAUAUUCAGCCAGAAAAUCAAAUAUUCAGUCAAUGGCUUCUCUAGUUCUUAUAUUAUCUGAGCUUCUUAGACAUGAAAAUACAGAUUAUUUGGCCUCAUUCUCAGCUUCUUCUUCAAGUUCAUCUGUCAAUUCUUGUACUAUUAUGGCUUCAAAAGGAAUUCAAUCAAUUUCCAGGGGUUUAACAAGUUUUAACAAUAACUUUGACAAGGAAGAGGAAUUUGAAGAACUUCCAAGGAUGUGUGUGGAUAUGGUUUGGCCUUAGAAUAUUUUUUUUCUUUUGUAAUUUGUGUCGUUAAACUAUGUAAUACAACAAGUUUCUUGUUAGGAAAUAAAACCCAAAUUUUUGUGCUCGUUCUUUCUUUUA
This 485-nucleotide long non-coding RNA is filed under the name Nicotiana benthamiana. RNAcentral describes it as "long non-coding RNA (NBEN_LNC008825)". Lineage: Eukaryota; Viridiplantae; Streptophyta; Magnoliopsida; Solanales; Solanaceae. The record is from RNAcentral.